UACGGAGGGUGCAAGCGUUGCUCGGAAUUAUUGGGCGUAAAGGGCAAGUAGGUGGUCUCAUUUGUCUGGGGUGAAAGCCUUGAGCUUAACUCAAGAAGUGCCCCGGAAACGGUGAGACUCGAGUACUGGAGAGGGUCGUGGAAUUCCCGGUGUAGCGGUGAAAUGCGUAGAGAUCGGGAGGAACACCUGAGGCGAAGGCGGCGACCUGGACAGUUACUGACACUCAACUGCGAAAGCGUGGGGAGCAAACAGGAUUAGAUACCCUGGUAGUCCACGCUGUAAACGAUGGGUACUAGAUUUGGCGGGUCUUGACCCCUGCUGAGUCGGAGCUAACGCACUAAGUACCCCGCCUGGGAAGUACGGUCGCAAGACUAAA
RNAcentral lists this ribosomal RNA (376 nucleotides) under uncultured bacterium. RNAcentral's name for it is "bacterial SSU rRNA". It matches the Rfam family "Bacterial small subunit ribosomal RNA", at positions 524 to 898 of the family's 1533-position model. The record is from RNAcentral.